Molecule: ribosomal RNA, 468 nt
Filed under: uncultured bacterium
Lineage: Bacteria
Description: partial 16S ribosomal RNA
Rfam family: Bacterial small subunit ribosomal RNA
Source: RNAcentral
GACGAACGCUGGCGGCGUGCUUAACACAUGCAAGUCGAACGGAAAGGCCCUGAUUUUGUGGGGUGCUCGAGUGGCGAACGGGUGAGUAACACGUGAGUAACCUGCCCUUGACUUUGGGAUAACUUCAGGAAACUGGGGCUAAUACCGGAUAGGAGCUCCUGCUGCAUGGUGGGGGUUGGAAAGUUUCGGCGGUUGGGGAUGGACUCGCGGCUUAUCAGCUUGUUGGUGGGGUAGUGGCUUACCAAGGCUUUGACGGGUAGUCGGCCUGAGAGGGUGACCGGCCACAUGUAAACUGAGAUACGCCCCAGACUCGUACUGGAAUCAGCAGUGAGGAAUAUUGCACAAUGGUCGGAAGCCUGAUGCAGCAACUCCCCGUGCGGGAUGACGGCCUUCGGGUUGUAAACCGCUUUCGCCUGUGACGAAGCGUAAGUAACGGUAAUAGGUAAAGAAGCACCGGCUAACUACGUG